UGGGGAAUAUUGCACAAUGGGGGAAACCCUGAUGUAGCGACGCCGCGUGAAGGAAGAAGUAUCUCGGUAUGUAAACUUCUAUCAGCAGGGAAGAUAAUGACGGUACCUGACUAAGAAGCCCCGGCUAACUACGUGCC
This 137-nucleotide ribosomal RNA is filed under the name uncultured bacterium. RNAcentral's name for it is "partial 16S ribosomal RNA". It matches the Rfam family "Bacterial small subunit ribosomal RNA", at positions 355 to 509 of the family's 1533-position model. The record is from RNAcentral.